Molecule: long non-coding RNA, 539 nt
Organism: Tribolium castaneum (red flour beetle)
Lineage: Eukaryota; Metazoa; Arthropoda; Insecta; Coleoptera; Tenebrionidae
Exons: 2
Source: RefSeq, a predicted model, not a curated record
GUUAUAUUUCUGACGCCUGUUACACACGUUUUGGAAAUUAUAAAAAAUAGCCAGUUAUAGCCACAUGUCCUAAAAUUUAAAAUACAACUAUCGGUACAAGCAGUGUACUAAAAAUCCGGAUCGGCGACAAGCAUCUCGAAGGCUAGCAAGAUGCAAGAGGUUCCUAGUGAAAUACCUAAGGCUGCCACCGAAUCCAAGGCCAAAUAUCGGUGUCAGUGGUUCCACGACGUUACUAAGAAUUUUCUCUAAUGUGCCACAAUAAAAAAACGUAAUCAUUUCUUCACUUAAUCAUCAGUCGCCUCCUAAUUAAAAUGUGUUAAUUAUUUUUUUAUAAUUGAAUUCAGAGGCCACUUGAAAUGUUCCCAAUUUUUUGCAACAAUAAGUAGUGUUGUUUUCUUGUUGACAAAUCAAGGCAAAGUUGUUCUUGAGCUGCAAGGAGGAUUUAGGAUUGGUCCGCCGAUAAGUCGGCACAAUUAUGGAAGAAUGUGAACAUGUGAUUUGUUUAUGAAAAAAUAAAUGAAUAAAAUGUAAUAACAGUU